UACAGAGGGGGCAAGCGUUAUUCGGAAUUAUUGGGCGUAAAGGGCGCGUAGGCGGCGAUUCAAGUGGCGGGUGAAAUCCCACGGCUCAACCGUGGAAGUGCAUUCGAAACUGCAGGGCUAGAGUCCUGGAGAGGAAGGUGGAAUGCUUGGUGUAGAGGUGAAAUUCGUAGAUAUCAAGCGGAACACCGGUGGCGAAGGCGGCCUUCUGGACAGUGACUGACGCUGAGACGCGAAAGCGUGGGGAGCAAACAGG
This 253-nucleotide ribosomal RNA is filed under the name uncultured bacterium. RNAcentral describes it as "partial 16S ribosomal RNA". It matches the Rfam family "Bacterial small subunit ribosomal RNA", at positions 524 to 776 of the family's 1533-position model. The record is from RNAcentral.